GCAAGUCGAACGCUGAAGCCUGGUGCUUGCACUGGGUGGAUGAGUGGCGAACGGGUGAGUAACACGUGAGUAACCUGCCCCUGACUCUGGGAUAAGCCUGGGAAACUGGGUCUAAUACUGGAUAUGACUGAUCAUCGCAUGGUGGUUGGUGGAAAGAGUUUUUGGUUGGGGAUGGACUCGCGGCCUAUCAGCUUGUUGGUGAGGUAGUGGCUCACCAAGGCGACGACGGGUAGCCGGCCUGAGAGGGUGACCGGCCACACUGGGACUGAGACACGGCCCAGACUCCUACGGGAGGCAGCAGUGGGGAAUAUUGCACAAUGGGCGCAAGCCUGAUGCAGCGACGCCGCGUGAGGGAUGACGGCCUUCGGGUUGUAAACCUCUUUCAGUUAGGAAGAAGCCUUUCGGGGUGACGGUACUAGCAGAAGAAGCGCCGGCUAACUAC
This 442-nucleotide ribosomal RNA is filed under the name uncultured bacterium. RNAcentral describes it as "bacterial SSU rRNA". It matches the Rfam family "Bacterial small subunit ribosomal RNA", at positions 57 to 504 of the family's 1533-position model. The record is from RNAcentral.